UACAGGGGGUGCAAACGUUGCUCGGAAUCAUUGGGCGUAAAGCGCACGUAGGCGGUUCGUUAUGUCGGAUGUGAAAGCCCUUGGCUUAACCGAGGAAGUGCAUCCGAAACUGGCGAGCUAGAGUACGAAAGAGGAUCGCGGAAUUCCCGGUGUAGAGGUGAAAUUCGUAGAUAUCGGGAGGAACACCGGUGGCGAAGGCGGCGAUCUGGGUCGAUACUGACGCUGAGGUGCGAAAGCAUGGGGAGCGAACAGG
This 253-nucleotide ribosomal RNA is filed under the name uncultured bacterium. Its description in RNAcentral is "partial 16S ribosomal RNA". It matches the Rfam family "Bacterial small subunit ribosomal RNA", at positions 524 to 776 of the family's 1533-position model. The record is from RNAcentral.